UGGCGGCGUGCUUAACACAUGCAAGUCGAACGAAGCACCUUAUUCUGAUUUCUUCGGAAUGAAAAAUUUGGUGACUGAGUGGCGGACGGGUGAGUAACGCGUGGGUAACCUGCCUCAUACAGGGGGAUAACAGUUAGAAAUGACUGCUAAUACCGCAUAAGACCACAGCACCGCAUGGUGCAGGGGUAAAAACUCCGGUGGUAUGAGAUGGACCCGCGUCUGAUUAGGUAGUUGGUGGGGUAACGGCCUACCAAGCCGACGAUCAGUAGCCGACCUGAGAGGGUGACCGGCCACAUUGGGACUGAGACACGGCCCAAACUCCUACGGGAGGCAGCAGUGGGGAAUAUUGCACAAUGGGAGAAACCCUGAUGCAGCGACGCCGCGUGAGCGAUGAAGUAUUUCGGUAUGUAAAGCUCUAUCAGCAGGGAAGAAAAUGACGGUACCUGACUAAGAAGCACCGGCUAAAUACGUGCCAGCAGCCGCGGUAAUACGUAUGGUGCAAGCGUUAUCCGGAUUUACUGGGUGUAAAGGGAGCGUAGACGGAGUGGCAAGUCUGAUGUGAAAACCCGGGGCUCAACCCCGGGACUGCAUUGGAAACUGUCAAUCUAGAGUACCGGAGAGGUAAGCGGAAUUCCUAGUGUAGCGGUGAAAUGCGUAGAUAUUAGGAGGAACACCAGUGGCGAAGGCGGCUUACUGGACGGUAACUGACGUUGAGGCUCGAAAGCGUGGGGAGCAAACAGGAUUAGAUACCCUGGUAGUCCACGCCGUAAACGAUGACUACUAAGUG
Molecule: ribosomal RNA, 787 nt
Filed under: uncultured organism
Description: SSU rRNA
Rfam family: Bacterial small subunit ribosomal RNA
Source: RNAcentral